CGGGAACUGUGAGACAGGUGCUGCAUGGCUGUCGUCAGCUCGUGUUGUGAAAUGUUGGGUUAAGUCCCGCAACGAGCGCAACCCUUAUCCUUUGUUGCCAGCGGUCCGGCCGGGAACUCAAAGGAGACUGCCAGUGAUAAACUGGAGGAAGGUGGGGAUGACGUCAAGUCAUCAUGGCCCUUACGACCAGGGCUACACACGUGCUACAAU
Molecule: ribosomal RNA, 210 nt
Filed under: Salmonella enterica subsp. enterica serovar Agona
Lineage: Bacteria; Pseudomonadati; Pseudomonadota; Gammaproteobacteria; Enterobacterales; Enterobacteriaceae
Description: partial 16S ribosomal RNA
Rfam family: Bacterial small subunit ribosomal RNA
Source: RNAcentral